Long non-coding RNA from Alosa sapidissima (American shad), 1943 nucleotides. RefSeq lists it as uncharacterized. NCBI's taxonomy places the organism in Eukaryota, Metazoa, Chordata, Actinopteri, Clupeiformes, Clupeidae. The record is from RefSeq and is a predicted model, not a curated record. The transcript has 3 exons.
UGUGCUUCUGCCAGGCCCCUAAGGCUCGGGAAACCUGUGCCUCGUUCAUUUCAGAGGCCUGACUUCAAACAUGCCUUCGCCUUCUCUCUCACUCUGCAGCGUCUUUGGUAGUGCUAAACAGACUGUCCAAGGCUAUUAAGAGCAAUGGGACAACUUGAUAAGGAUGGACAUAAAACCAUAGGAGGAAAAAAAAAAGAACGGCAAAUAGACAACAAACUAAUUGCAGGGUUUCACUAAACGUGAUGACGGUGGAUGGAGACUCAGUAGGGAGUCCAUUGAGAGGACAUCACAUAACUGGGAAAGGAACGUUUAAAAAAAGGAUUGUUAUCUUUUAAAAACUCACCCGGCUCUGUUGCACAUUCUUGGUUGAGUGAUGACAUGGCAGUUCAUGUGGAACACUGCACUCAUGCAUUGUGGCUCUCAAUUAAACUCUCUGACUACUGUUAGGUGAGAAAGACUGCACAAAUAUAACAACAUCUGUGACAUCCAAAUAAGUCUGUAUAAAAUGUGUGUGAUUGGUGAUCUUGGCACACUGCCAAGCAGAUUUUUGAUCAUGGUCGCUUACCAGCUAACAGGUUUCUCUUAAAGGCCAACAUCUCAAAGGGACAUGUUUUGCGCAGCCCCUGUGUAUAGUUAUGGGUUUACAACUCCCUCUGCAGAGAAAAACGUCUGUGAUGCCAGAGCGCAGAAUGUCAUAAAACUGCACCCCCGCUAAAAUAAACCCCCUUGCGCUUUAAUCCGACGUGACAUUAAACCAGCGAGUGUGUUUUCACAGUGACUCAGCCGCCACUGAUGGCGCUAAAAAGAAACAUACCCAUCGCGCCUGCUCUGUAUGAGAACAUGUCAUGUCUCCUUAAACGCCAAUCCCGUCUAAACGGUCCUGAAAACGAGGAGGGACUCGCUGGGCUCCUGUCAGGCAAGGCAUUCCAUAGUGCCAUGAUGAGUCAAUCUUUUCAUUUGAUAUUUUUACUAUGUCUGAGGCAAGAGGUGGGGAGAUGAGAAAAAGAUGGCCGCAGUCUACUGAGAAAAGGAAGCCCCCCCAUAAGAGAGAAAAUGUUUAAAGCGGAGCCGUGGCAUGACUAUCAGAUUGAUGUAGUAUUUCUUUACAAAAAUGCUCUGGUUGGCAUGUAGUUGUACCACCACCACUUAUUGCAAAUGACAAAAAAGCCUGCCACAUGCAAGCCUUUUGGUCUUUCUGAUCGAUCAUAGUUACAUGGUCUACUACAUUUGCGCUGAGGGAAACUGUUGUUCAACUAACUAGUAACUACUAUAGCCCCCCAUUCUUUGUUUCACUCCCCUGAUGCUUGAUGGUGCAGAUCAGAAAUGAGGUUAACACACAGUCAUUGGCAUCAGUGCCCUGUUGUGGUCUGUGGGGGUACGCAACCCUUAGCACCUUCAUAUAUACACACACACACACACACACACACACAACCCCCCAAACACUUGUGAUUUUUUUUUCCCUUGAUAAACAGGCGCACCAUUGUCGUGUGAAGAGCUCUCGUUAUUAUUUUUUAAAGUAAUUACACCUUAUUAUCUGUGUUUACUUUCGCGAGGGCGAGUGCAGGUGUGGGACGGAGGGAGGCCGUGGGUGGCGGGUGAUGGGCCCUGUAGGGGGGCAGUCGCCCCUGUGUGUCUCCAACCUCCCCACCCCCAUACACACACUCCUUCUCUCCCUGCCCUCUGUCUUUUUCCCCUCUCCCCUAGACUCGAGGUUUGGGUAUUGUAGCUGCUCUCCCACCAAUUUCAUUGCCACAAAAAGAACCUGCAAUUAGGCCUAUUGUUGUAGCAGCUGCUCGUUGCCUGCCCCAUAGGCCCUGCCAGUUCUUGGCUCAUGGUUGGGGAGAGGGACCCCUGCCGUGACACCAAACAACCCCCCAGAACCGCCACCACAGUCACCACCAUCUCAAACACCAAAGGCUAUGAAUCAAUCCGUCAAUCUAUCA